AUACGGAGGGUGCAAGCGUUAAUCGGAAUUACUGGGCGUAAAGCGCUCGUAGGCGGCUUGUUAAGUCGGAUGUGAAAGCCCCGGGCUCAACCUGGGAACUGCAUUCGAUACUGGCAAGCUAGAGUAUAGUAGAGGCAAGUGGAAUUCCGGGUGUAGCGGUGAAAUGCGUAGAUAUCCGGAGGAACAUCAGUGGCGAAGGCGACUUGCUGGACUAAUACUGACGCUGAGGAGCGAAAGCGUGGGGAGCAAACGGCAUUAGAAACCCUGGUAGUCC
RNAcentral lists this ribosomal RNA (274 nucleotides) under uncultured bacterium. RNAcentral describes it as "partial 16S ribosomal RNA". It matches the Rfam family "Bacterial small subunit ribosomal RNA", at positions 523 to 796 of the family's 1533-position model. The record is from RNAcentral.